RNAcentral lists this ribosomal RNA (1372 nucleotides) under uncultured bacterium. RNAcentral's name for it is "bacterial SSU rRNA". It matches the Rfam family "Bacterial small subunit ribosomal RNA", at positions 28 to 1381 of the family's 1533-position model. The record is from RNAcentral.
GAUGAACGCUGGCGGCGUGCCUAAUACAUGCAAGUCGAGCGAACGGACGAGAAGCUUGCUUCUCUGAUGUUAGCGGCGGACGGGUGAGUAACACGUGGAUAACCUACCUAUAAGACUGGGAUAACUUCGGGAAACCGGAGCUAAUACCGGAUGAUAUUUUGAACCGCAUGGUUCAAAAGUGAAAGACGGUCUUGCUGUCACUUAUAGAUGGAUCCGCGCUGCAUUAGCUAGUUGGUAAGGUAACGGCUUACCAAGGCAACGAUGCAUAGCCGACCUGAGAGGGUGAUCGGCCACACUGGAACUGAGACACGGUCCAGACUCCUACGGGAGGCAGCAGUAGGGAAUCUUCCGCAAUGGGCGAAAGCCUGACGGAGCAACGCCGCGUGAGUGAUGAAGGUCUUCGGAUCGUAAAACUCUGUUAUUAGGGAAGAACAUAUGUGUAAGUAACUGUGCACAUCUUGACGGUACCUAAUCAGAAAGCCACGGCUAACUACGUGCCAGCAGCCGCGGUAAUACGUAGGUGGCAAGCGUUAUCCGGAAUUACUGGGCGUAAAGCGCGCGUAGGCGGUUUUUUAAGUCUGAUGUGAAAGCCCACGGCUCAACCGUGGAGGGUCAUUGGAAACUGGAAAACUUGAGUGCAGAAGAGGAAAGUGGAAUUCCAUGUGUAGCGGUGAAAUGCGCAGAGAUAUGGAGGAACACCAGUGGCGAAGGCGACUUUCUGGUCUGUAACUGACGCUGAUGUGCGAAAGCGUGGGGAUCAAACAGGAUUAGAUACCCUGGUAGUCCACGCCGUAAACGAUGAGUGCUAAGUGUUAGGGGGUUUCCGCCCCUUAGUGCUGCAGCUAACGCAUUAAGCACUCCGCCUGGGGAGUACGACCGCAAGGUUGAAACUCAAAGGAAUUGACGGGGACCCGCACAAGCGGUGGAGCAUGUGGUUUAAUUCGAAGCAACGCGAAGAACCUUACCAAAUCUUGACAUCCUUUGACAACUCUAGAGAUAGAGCCUUCCCCUUCGGGGGACAAAGUGACAGGUGGUGCAUGGUUGUCGUCAGCUCGUGUCGUGAGAUGUUGGGUUAAGUCCCGCAACGAGCGCAACCCUUAAGCUUAGUUGCCAUCAUUAAGUUGGGCACUCUAAGUUGACUGCCGGUGACAAACCGGAGGAAGGUGGGGAUGACGUCAAAUCAUCAUGCCCCUUAUGAUUUGGGCUACACACGUGCUACAAUGGACAAUACAAAGGGCAGCGAAACCGCGAGGUCAAGCAAAUCCCAUAAAGUUGUUCUCAGUUCGGAUUGUAGUCUGCAACUCGACUACAUGAAGCUGGAAUCGCUAGUAAUCGUAGAUCAGCAUGCUACGGUGAAUACGUUCCCGGGUCU